UACGUAGGGAGCGAGCGUUGUCCGGAAUUACUGGGUGUAAAGGGUGCGUAGGCGGGGAUGCAAGUCAGAUGUGAAAUGUAUGGGCUCAACCCAUGAACUGCAUUUGAAACUGCAACUCUUGAGUGAGGUAGAGGUAAGCGGAAUUCCUAGUGUAGCGGUGAAAUGCGUAGAUAUUAGGAGGAACAUCGGUGGCGAAGGCGGCUUACUGGGCCUUUACUGACGCUGAGGCACGAAAGCGUGGGGAGCAAAC
Molecule: ribosomal RNA, 250 nt
Filed under: uncultured prokaryote
Description: partial 16S ribosomal RNA
Rfam family: Bacterial small subunit ribosomal RNA
Source: RNAcentral